RNAcentral lists this ribosomal RNA (492 nucleotides) under uncultured bacterium. RNAcentral's name for it is "partial 16S ribosomal RNA". It matches the Rfam family "Bacterial small subunit ribosomal RNA", at positions 29 to 507 of the family's 1533-position model. The record is from RNAcentral.
AGUGAACGCUGGCGGUAGGCCUGACACAUGCAAGUCGAACGGCAGCACAGUAAGAGCUUGCUCUUACGGGUGGCGAGUGGCGGACGGGUGAGGAAUACAUCGGAAUCUACUUUUUCGUGGGGGAUAACGUAGGGAAACUUACGCUAAUACCGCAUACGACCUACGGGUGAAAGCAGGGGAUCUUCGGACCUUGCGCGAUUGAAUGAGCCGAUGUCGGAUUAGCUAGUUGGCGGGGUAAAGGCCCACCAAGGCGACGAUCCGUAGCUGGUCUGAGAGGAUGAUCAGCCACACUGGAACUGAGACACGGUCCAGACUCCUACGGGAGGCAGCAGUGGGGAAUAUUGGACAAUGGGCGAAAGCCUGAUCCAGCCAUACCGCGUGGGUGAAGAAGGCCUUCGGGUUGUAAAGCCCUUUUGUUGGGAAAGAAAAGCAGCAGGUUAAUACCCCGCUGUUCUGACGGUACCCAAAGAAUAAGCACCGGCUAACUUCGUG